RNAcentral lists this unclassified non-coding RNA (395 nucleotides) under uncultured Diversispora. RNAcentral's name for it is "SSU rRNA". It matches the Rfam family "Eukaryotic small subunit ribosomal RNA", at positions 569 to 972 of the family's 1831-position model. The record is from RNAcentral. Lineage: Eukaryota; Fungi; Glomeromycota; Glomeromycetes; Diversisporales; Diversisporaceae.
AGCAGCCGCGGUAAUUCCAGCUCCAAUAGCGUAUAUUAAAGUUGUUGCAGUUAAAAGCUCGUAGUUGAAUUUCGGGAUCAAUAUAUUGGUCGUGCCUUUGGUAUGCACUGGUAUUAUUGAUUUCUACCUUCUGACGAACCAUGAUGUCAUUAAUUUGGUGUCAUGGGGAAUCAGGACUGUUACUUUGAAAAAUUGAGUGUUUAAAGCAAGCACACGCUUGAAUACAUUAGCAUGGAAUAAUGAAAUAGGACGUUUGAUCUUAUUUUGUUGGUUUCUAGGAUCGACGUAAUGAUUAAUAGGGAUAGUGGGGGCAUUAGUAUUCAAUUGUCAGAGGUGAAAUUCUUGGAUUUAUUGAAGACUGACUACUGCGAAAGCAUUUGCCAAGGAUGUUUUCA